UAGUGAAGUUGUGGCAGUUAUCCUUCAGGCCUGACUUGAAAUGAGGACACAUAUUAUAGGUCAUUA
Molecule: small nucleolar RNA, 66 nt
Organism: Ochotona princeps (American pika)
Lineage: Eukaryota; Metazoa; Chordata; Mammalia; Lagomorpha; Ochotonidae
Product: small nucleolar RNA SNORD2
Exons: 1
Source: RefSeq, a predicted model, not a curated record